Chelonia mydas (Green sea turtle) is the source of this 185-nucleotide long non-coding RNA. RefSeq lists it as uncharacterized. The record is from RefSeq and is a predicted model, not a curated record. The transcript has 2 exons. NCBI's taxonomy places the organism in Eukaryota, Metazoa, Chordata, Testudines, Cheloniidae.
CAGUGGCUGAGGGGAACCAGGGCCCACCCUGGCUUAUAGCCAUUGAUGGACCUAUUCUCCACGAAGUUACCUAGUUCUUUUUCGAACCCUGUUAUCGUCUUGGCUUUCACAACAUCCUCUGGCAAGGAGUUCCACAGGUUGACUGUGUGUUGUAUGAAAAAAUACUUCCUUUUCUUUGUUUUAAA